This 400-nucleotide ribosomal RNA is filed under the name uncultured bacterium. RNAcentral describes it as "bacterial SSU rRNA". It matches the Rfam family "Bacterial small subunit ribosomal RNA", at positions 500 to 896 of the family's 1533-position model. The record is from RNAcentral.
UCAUCGUGCCAGCAGCCGCGGUAAUACGUAGGGUGCGAGCGUUGUCCGGAUUUAUUGGGCGUAAAGGGCUCGUAGGUGGUUGAUCGCGUCGGAAGUGUAAUCUUGGGGCUUAACCCUGAGCGUGCUUUCGAUACGGGUUGACUUGAGGAAGGUAGGGGAGAAUGGAAUUCCUGGUGGAGCGGUGGAAUGCGCAGAUAUCAGGAGGAACACCAGUGGCGAAGGCGGUUCUCUGGGCCUUUCCUGACGCUGAGGAGCGAAAGCGUGGGGAGCGAACAGGCUUAGAUACCCUGGUAGUCCACGCUGUAAACGGUGGGUACUAGGUGUGGGGUCCAUUCCACGGGUUCCGUGCCGUAGCUAACGCUUUUAAGUACCCCGCCUGGGGAGUACGGCCGCAAGGCUA